This 546-nucleotide ribosomal RNA is filed under the name uncultured bacterium. RNAcentral describes it as "bacterial SSU rRNA". It matches the Rfam family "Bacterial small subunit ribosomal RNA", at positions 98 to 661 of the family's 1533-position model. The record is from RNAcentral.
GCGAACGGGCUGAGUAAUAUAUCGGAACGUACCCUAGGGUGGGGGAUAACGUAGCGAAAGUUGACGGCUAAUACCGCAUACGCUCUACGGAGGAAAGCAGGGGACCGCAAGGCCUUGCGGCUCAUGGAGCGGCCGAUAUCGGAUUAGCUUGUUGGUGGGGUAAAAGCCUACCAAGGCGACGAUCCGUAGCUGGUCUGAGAGGACGACCAGCCACACUGGGACUGAGACACGGCCCAGACUCCUACGGGAGGCAGCAGUGGGGAAUUUUGCGCAAUGGGGGAAACCCUGACGCAGCAACGCCGCGUGGAGGAUGAAGCCCCUUGGGGCGUAAACUCCUUUCGACCAAGACGAUAAUGACGGUACUGGUGGAAGAAGCACCGGCUAACUCUGUGCCAGCAGCCGCGGUAAUACAGAGGGUGCGAGCGUUGUUCGGAAUUAUUGGGCGUAAAGGGCGCGUAGGCGGUGCCACAAGUCACUUGUGAAAUCCCCGGGCUUAACCCGGGGCCUGCAGGCGAAACUGUGGUGCUGGAGUAUGGGAGAGGUGCG